UUUCACUGGGUGCAUCUGGCUCAAGGGCUCUCAAGAGGUUGCCAUCAGGCUACUUGCUUGGGUUGUGGUCUAAUCUGUCGAGACUCACAUAGUGGGAGGACCUGCCUCUGAGUUUGCUCACAUGGUUGUUGUCAGCAUUCAAUGCCUCACAGACUGUUGGGUAGUUCCUUGCUGGCUGUCAGCCAGAUGCCCCCCGUGGCACACGAAACUCUCUAUAGGACAACUCACAAUAGAGCUAGCUUCUUCCAGGGUGCAUGAGAGAGUGAGAGAGACCUAGAGGAUGCCCAAGACAGGAGUCACAAUCUUUUGGUAACCUAACUUUGGAAGUGACAUUCUAUCACUUUUCUGUAUUCUAUUUAUUAAGAGCAAGUCACCAUGUCCAACCUUCUUCAAGAGGAGGGGAUUACACAAGGGCAUGAAGAACUAAGAAGUGGGGAACGCUGGGAACCAUCAUCUUCCAGGUGUCUACCACAGAGAGGAGGACAUUUGGACACAGACAGGCACAGAGGGGAGACCAGGUGAAGACACAGGGAGAAGAUGGCCAUCUACGAGCCAAGAAGAGAGGCUUCACAAGAAACCAAACCUGAUCACACCUUGUUUUCAGGCUUUCAGCCUCCAGAAUUGUGAGAAAAUAAAUUUCUGUGUUUUAAAUCACUACA
Macaca mulatta (Rhesus monkey) is the source of this 659-nucleotide non-coding RNA. NCBI's taxonomy places the organism in Eukaryota, Metazoa, Chordata, Mammalia, Primates, Cercopithecidae. The record is from RefSeq and is a predicted model, not a curated record.